Molecule: long non-coding RNA, 755 nt
Filed under: Struthio camelus australis
Lineage: Eukaryota; Metazoa; Chordata; Aves; Struthioniformes; Struthionidae
Description: lncRNA (ENSSCUG00000016831.1)
Source: RNAcentral
GAUUAGCAACCUUAUAAAAGUUAAUGAUGUAUUUCAUGUUGUAGGAGGCCUGUUCUGAGAGACUAUUGCUGCACUUGAAGUGCCCUCACAAGCUGUAGACCACGGGAAGGUCUGAGACCUAGUAAGGGAAAAACAAUCUUGUGCUCGAAUGGAGACUUCUUUUUAAAAAGAUCGUGCUUUUUGAGCAGCGAGAACUCAGCUCCUGUUUGCGCAGUCCAGACAUGUUGGAUAAUUGUGGCAAGUGUGCAUCCCUCUCUCCAUAUGAGAGUGCUGAACAGCAGCAGUUGCUGGGACUCCAGGUUCCCUGAAGCAGCACCUCGGCUGGGAGCAGUGUGGCAGUGUCUAUUGGAGACAAGCAGUGACAAAGCAUUCCAGGAGAAGCUUCCCCAGGAGCAAGGCAGGUCUUUCUGAAGCAACUACCCCUUUAAAAACUGUUUUGAGAAGCACGUGUUAAGUUGCACCACUCCUCAUGUUGAUUCAUGUCAGUAGAGAUGUAUUUGGUACAGCUUUGUUAGCUCUUGCUACAUAAUCGAAUAUGUCCAGCUGCUAGCUUUAAUGUAAUACUUGUUUCCAUUAUGCCCAGGAUAAUGUCAAUACCUGAGACUUAAUCAAAUGCUUGACAAAGCUGAGAUGAAGACAAUGGAUUCAAUUAUCUCAGAUAACUGAUUUUCUUUGUAUGAUGUUGUCAAUGUUCAAAAGGCUAGGUGGAUUAACAGUCUGUCAAGAAUUGGCAGGCUUGUGCUAGUCUUGCGUCC